Molecule: ribosomal RNA, 639 nt
Filed under: uncultured Actinomycetes bacterium
Lineage: Bacteria; Bacillati; Actinomycetota; Actinomycetes
Description: bacterial SSU rRNA
Rfam family: Bacterial small subunit ribosomal RNA
Source: RNAcentral
CGCGGCCUAUCAGCUUGUUGGUGAGGUAACGGCUCACCAAGGCAUCGACGGGUAGCUGGUCUGAGAGGACGAUCAGCCACACUGGGACUGAGACACGGCCCAGACUCCUACGGGAGGCAGCAGUAGGGAAUCUUGCGCAAUGGGCGAAAGCCUGACGCAGCAACGCCGCGUGGGGGAUGAAUGCCUUCGGGUUGUAAACCCCUUUCAGCAGGGACGAAAAUGACGGUACCUGCAGAAGAAGCUCCGGCCAACUACGUGCCAGCAGCCGCGGUAAUACGUAGGGAGCGAGCGUUGUCCGGAAUUAUUGGGCGUAAUGAGCUCGUAGGCGGUUCAGUAAGUCGGGUGUGAAAACUCAAGGCUCAACCUUGAGACGCCACUCGAUACUGCUGUGACUUGAGUCCGGUAGAGGAGUGUGGAAUUCCUGGUGUAGCGGUGAAAUGCGCAGAUAUCAGGAGGAACACCAGCGGCGAAGGCGGCACUCUGGGCCGGUACUGACGCUGAGGAGCGAAAGCAUGGGGAGCAAACAGGAUUAGAUACCCUGGUAGUCCAUGCCGUAAACGUUGGGCACUAGGUAUGGGAUCAUAUCAACGGAUUCCGUGCCGUAGCUAACGCAUUAAGUGCCCCGCCUGGGGAGUACGG